CCUCUGCUGCUUUGGAACAGAUCACCACUGCAAGAGAGGAAGCUGCUACUGUGAUGAAUUCUGCCACGAGGUGUCAGACUGCUGCCCAGACCACCGCACCCUGUGCACCCUGGAUAACUCACAUGCAGGCUCCUUCCCACCCCUGGCGGAGCCGGAUGCUGUGAUGGACAGAGGCAAGCCCCUUGCUUGUACUUCAGGCCAAGGCCAGGAUGUGGACUGGAUGCCUCCUGAGGGCCCUGAUAAUCCUGAGAUCCUCACAUUUGGUCCAUUUCGUACCAAAAGUGCCCACAUAUUCCUCCCAGCUUUGUUUCCCCACUGCUCCUGACCACCUGCUGCUCCCCUCUGAGCUCCUUUCCCAGAUCCCCACAGGGAGAGGCUAAGCUGUUGGUGGUUGGGGAUCAGGGUGGCGAGUGAGGUGGUUGGGUCACCUAACUGCCCCCGCAUCUCUUGCAACAUAGAUGCCUCUUGACCUGACCCAUGUAGACUUUUGAGGGAAGACAGGAGUCUGCAGAGAGGUGCUAGGGAUGUUACAUAGGAGGAGGGAGACUGGGAGUCAGGGAGGAGGCCAGGAGCUUUUGCUUUGUGUUUCUCAGCUUCUCAGAAUACCAAGAUGGUGCUGCAGAUGGUGCUGAGGAGGGAGACCCCCCCGAGCCCUGCAAGAAGCAACCUAGACUGGAUACAGAAUGUGGUGAGUACCCUGGUGGUUCUCCCGGAAGGGGUGCUGACAACCUGCUCCUGCCUCCCUGGCCUGUAGACCCCAGAGUCAGGGAACCACUACCAAGGGGGGAAAGAGACCUGAGCUGGGGCACAGCUCCACGGUUUUAGGGCUAGGAGCCAUGGUAUCUGACCAUGGACACUGACACCUGAAUUUCAUAUAAUUUUCAUGUGUCAUGACAUAUUCUUUUGACUUUUUUCAACCACUUAAAAUAUAAAAAACAUUCUUAACUUGUGAUCUGCACACACACACACACACACACACACACACACACACACACAAACCUGCAACAAGUCAGACUUGGCCCACGGAUUGUGGUUGGCUGCUCUCUGCCCUAAAUCAUCCUUUGUUCUUUACUUUUCGUUUGGGUCGUGACUUCAGCACUGACCUGUCCAGAGCUCUCUGCCCAGAACUGGAGCAGAGGCUUCAGUCCCCACUCUAGCAUAUUAUGACCAUUGGGCAGAAAGAAAGGCAGCAUGGUACAAGGAAAGAGCAUGGACUCGGGAGCCAGCAAGACCUGGGUUCAAAUCCUGUCUCUACCACUUAUUACCUGGAUGAUUACUGGAUGACCUGAAGUAACUUCUUCUGCCUUUCUGAGCUUCCCUUUCCUCAUCUGUGUCCCAGAGCUUGCCCUGUAGAGCUGUUACAAAAGGGCCUUGGUAGAUGUACAACGAGACAUAGCUAUUAUUUGGGGACAUGCAAAUAAGCUGCAGAGGGUGUAGGCCUUCGCUUCCUGCUCACUUAGGUCCAGCAGCUUCUGCACACCAGCCUCCCAGGGAGGCCCCUCUCCAUCUCCAUGAAGAAAAUCAAGAAGAGAGCCUGACAUCUCCCAUGAAGCUCCUCCAGGGCCCUGUGAUGCAGAGCCCACCCUAUUCCCCUCCCCCAGCAUCCCCAGGUCUGCUGGGGCCUUACCACUGGGCCCACUGUGCUUGUCUCUUGGUUUCUAUCCUGCGUGCUUCUAUAUUGGUUCAACCAGAGGAAGACGGAAAUCUGCAAUAGUCAUAAACACAUUUAAAUCAGCCAUACAUGGCUGGGUGGCUCAGUCAGUUGAGUAUCCAAAUUCAGCUCUGGUCAUGAUCUCACAGUUCAUGAGUUCAAGCCCUGCAUUGGGCUCUGUGCUUACAGCCCAAAGCCUGGAGCCUGCUUCGGAUUCUGUGUCUCCCUCUCUCUCUGCCCCUCCCCUGCUCUCUCUCUCUCUCACUCUCUCUCUCAAAAUAAAUGAACAUUAAAAAAAUUAAAUCAGCCAUACAGAUUAUAAAACAUAAAUUUGGCUCAUUGUAUUCAUUGUUUGUGGUGGUUAUAAUGAAUAUAGUAACUGUUUCUUGAAAGCAGAAGGCGAGAACCUAGCACCCCUUUGGCUAAGUGAUCUGUGCCUCCUUCUUCAGUAUUCCUUCCCAGGUAUCAUGUGACCACCUCUAAAUCCCAAAAUAGCCUGGUCUGAUCCCUAGCCUCGUGUUCACCUACUUUUCUUCCCAUGGUAAAAAGAGGCAGGGUGACCUUCUUCUAGUGGGUUGGGAUUGGCUUUCUGGGAGUUUCCUUGUGUGAGGAUUUCAAAACUCCAGGAGAGUGAUGCCAGGGGGUUUUGGGGUCUGUUGAACCCAUUGCCUUCCCUCUCAGACCUGCUCCUCCCCCUGUUUGGUGAAUGGUUCCCUACCCUUCAGCUUCCUGCACUCCAGGCCUUAGGGUCUUCUUUUUCUUCUCUCUGCCUGUGGCCUUCCUCUGCAAGGUGACAAGUCUUUCUAGUUCUACUUCACAACACGGUUCAUUUCUGCUCCUCCUAUACUCCAAUUGCCAAAGUCCCAGGUCACAGCGUCCUAACUGGUCCUCUUGCCCCCGGGAUCUCCCCUAACUGGUCUCUGUCCCCAGUUUACUGCCCACAGCAGAGUUCUGGUGUUGCCAGUUCCUCAUUCAGAAACCACCACUGGCUUCCCAUUGUCUCCAGAACAAAAGCUAACCUCCCACAUAUGGCUACAAAGCCCUCCACAGCAUGAGCCCAAGGCACAUUUCUGGCUUUAUCUGCUAUAAGUCCCUUUCCCCACUCCUAUGUUCUACCUAAAUAGAAUGACCCAUUAUCCCUGUCCAUGCCUUCCUCCAGGCUUUGGCUAAUCUGAACACUGGUUUCUAAGUAAAUGAUUAUAGCAAAGGAGGUCCUGUCAAAGUCCAGUUAUUGGCUCUAUUGGUUCUAUUUUAGCUUAGUUUCUCUGAAUAACUUAUUUGGGAACAGAACUCCAAGGAACAGGUGAGGGAAAAGGGAAGUGAUGCAGAGAAGAAGGGAGACCCAACACAAAGAUGCAUUAUUCAGUUGGCCCCCACUAUGGCUGAUUAGUUGCUUGAUCCUGUGGGACUUUUUUUUUUUUAAUUUUUUUUAACGUUUAUUUAUUUUUGAGGCAGAGAGAGACAGAGCAUGAACGGGGGAGGGGCAGAGAGAGAGGUAGACACAGAAUCUGAAACAGGCUCCAGGCUCUGAGCUGUCAGCACAGAGCCCGACGCGGGGCUUGAACUCACGGACCGUGAGAUCAUGACCUGAGCCGAAGUCGGACACUUAACCGACUGAGCCACCCAGGCGCCGAUCCUGUGGGACCUUUUAAAAAAAUCUUAUGAAAUGUUUCAGAGAACCAUCUGUCCUGGGGAUGGAAUAGGAAGCAUCUGUCCAUUGCCUCCCAUUCUCAUGGUUUAUAGGUUGCUCCACUAGUCGCUAACUCUUUCAGUUCUUUGUUGGUGGUAUGUGAGAGCAGAGCAGCUCUUGGAAGCAUCCCAAGCCUUGGCAUCAGGGAAACCCUGGCAGAGAGCAAAUGGAACAUGGCAAGGCACUGCCUCACCACUCCUGGAAAAGUAGUCACCGUAGCAAUGGCUGGAGUAGGAAGCAAGGCCAAAAGGACUUGAAUGGUGUACAAAAGGUGUUCUACCUACUGGCUUUUGGGAACACAUGCUUUAUCCCUCUAGCUCUUCCAACCACAGAUUUCUUCUCCUGCCUAGGGAUGGAGGAGCCUGGGUGAGGAGACAUCCCUGGGCCCUGUUUGGAAGAACUGGUCUCAUACAUCCAGACCUAGUGGUCUCUCUCCCUUCCUUGCUAGGGAGUACUUUUCAAGUAAGGCUCUGUGGGAUGUGGCCUCUCCAGUUGGGAUCAUCCUGUGGGCCUCACAGAAAGCCCAAAGAUGUUGAUUUAUGGGCUCUUUUCCCUCUCUUCACUCAGUGAUUAUUUUCCUUCCAAAUGUCCAGAAACUCCAUCUCUUUUAAUUGCUCCUAUAUCAUCCUUUCAUCCCAGAUAGGAUGAACAGAGUUAGGUUAUUCCAAACUGAAGAAACUGUUUCUGAGAUGUCCCAAUACUGGUACAGCUUCCUCUCUAGUUGAGUGUACACGUGUGUGCAUAUGUGCAUGCAUAUUUCAUUUCUAUCUGGCUCUCCAUCUUCCCUCCCCAUCUUCCAAAUAUCUUCCCUAUGAAAGUCAUUUCCCUGGCAGCAGCAUACUACCAGGGAAAAGCCCUGGAAAAACAGAGGGUCUGCAUUACCAGCCCUGCCUGGUAUUUAAUUUAAUGCAAAUUAAAAUUACAAAGAGAAAUUAAUAUUCAUAACGAUGUCUAAAAUUACAAGGCCUGAUGAUAGCAAGUGUUGAUGAGAAUGUGGAGCAACUGGAACUCUUAUAUGUUGCUGGUAUAGCCGAAGCUGGCACAAUCAAUUUGGAAAACUGUUGGAUACUAUAUACUAAAGCUAAACACAUGUAUGCCCAAUGACCCAGCAAUUCCACUCAUAUAUAUAUAUAUAUAUAUAUAUAUAUAUAUAUACCCAAAACAAAUGCAAGACUGUUCAUUGCAGCUUUAUCCAGAAUAGUGAAAAACUGGAAACAACUCAAAUGUCCAUCAAUAGGAAAAUGGAUAAAUAAAUGGUGGUGUAUUUUAUACAAUGGAAUACUAUCUAACAACAAAAAAGUACUGUUACACGCAACAUGAGUGAGUUUCACAGGCAUAAUGUUAAGAAAAAGAAGCCACACACGAACGAGUGUGUAUUCAUAAUUCCAUUUACAUGAAGAUCAAAAACAGGCAAAACUAAUCCAUGGUGAUAGAGGUAACAAUGAUUUUGGGGGGCAAAUACUGACUGGAAGGGAACACAAAGGAGCCUAAUGAGAUGCUGAAAAUGUCUCCUAUCUUUGUCUGAGUGUGGAUACCUCCUUGGUGUAUACAAAUGUAAAAAUUCAUCAAGUUGUAUGCUACUUAGGAUUGAUGUAGUUUACUGUAUGUGGGCUAUACCCUAACAAAGAGAUGAAUGAAGAAGUGGACAGAGGGCUCUCUGGAGUUUCCUCUACUAUAGCCCAAGGAAUAGGGGUUAGCGUGGGGAAGGCCCAUUCUCAGGUCCUUACAAAUUUAGAUGCUCCUCACCACCUCUUCUGGGGUAACUCUGCCUGACAGGAUCCCAUCUAAACAAUCUGUGCAUACUUAACAUUUUGAACUUGUAGGGACACACUUGGACCCCCCCAGAGUUGCUAUAGAAAUAUUUUAAAGUAGAAACAUUAAAGCAAUAGAAGAUGUAGAAAGAAAUGUAAUCUGAACUUCCCUUAACUAAAGCAGAGCCUUCCAAAAAUACACCUGCCAUUAGUGUCCUUCUGAGUGAUUUUCUAGCCAAUUCAGUCUGCCAUGGAGACAGACUGCCUAAUAGAACCUUCUGUACCCAUGGAAGCCCUAAACCCCCCACCCUUCCACUCCCACUCCUUCUUUAUGUUUGGUAUAUAAACCUUGAUAUCUGGCUAUUCAGUGAGUUAUUCAAUACUGAGCAACUUCCUGGUGCCCUUGUCAAUAAACUUGGUCUUUUCACCUGUUCAUCUGUCUGUUCUUAAUUAAUUUGCAGACCCUCAAUCAUCAGACCCAUGUUGAAGGAGAAAAAAGUUUUUCCUCCCAACAAACCCAGAACAACUUAGCUGUGGCCUGGAGCUGGGCUAUAUCUCAGUGGUCUAGCAGAUUUAUAACCUUGUAUUUUGAGGACAUUUGACCAAGUUGACUCUUUUAUCAGACUCUUGGCAGGACAGUGCUUUGGGCUUUACUUGAUAACCCUUGUCCUGAGCCAGGUUCAUCCCUAUAAUAUGCACUGGUUUCAUUGUGGACAGAGGGGUUCUAAACACUCUGAUGAAAGAGCCAGACCCAAAAGGCACUGAUGACAACUCCAUCCUUCCAGUUGUUCAAGCUGAGAAGUCUGUACUUAUUCUUGAUUUCUGUUUGUUUGACAUCCCACAUCAAUGUGGCAGGAAAUCAUGUGGACUCUAUUUUCAAAAUACAUCCAGAAUCUGAUCGACUCCCACUACUUCCUCUGCUACCUCCCCUGUCAGAGCCACCCUCCUGUCUUGCCUGGACUAGGGAAAAAGCUCCCAUUCUUAGUGCAGCUGCCAGACCGAUCCUUCUAAAGUUAGAUCCCAUGGCUCCAUCUGUUCAUAACUUCCCAGGCCCCAUCUGUUCCCACCUCACUCGGAGUACCAGUCCCAAGACUGGCAAAGCCCUGUAUCAUCUACACCCUCACUCUGUCCUCCUAUCCCUCAAAUCUGCCCCUAGUGUGCUCUAGUCACAUGGGCCUUUUGAUGCUCCUUGAACUUGCUCCUGCCUUAGGCCUCUGGACCUUUCUCUAGAAGUUCCCACUGCCUGGAAUGCUCUUCUCCAGGUAUAACUUUCUCACCAAUUUCAGGUCAGUGCUCAGCUCUCACCGUGCUAUUUCACACAGCAAGCUGUACCUCCCCCCUGCCUCCCCCCAAUACCAGGUUCCUUUUGUCUUUUUUCCUUCUUUUCCCCAUAGUAUUCAUCCCUACAUAAUUCACUUAUUUGUUGUGUUCAUUGUUUGCCAUCUGUCUUCACCAGGAAGUUAGUUCCAUGAGGUUAGGUAUCUGUUUUACUUAGUGACGUAUUGCAAAUGCUGGCAUAUAGUAAGUAUUCCAUAUAUGUUUAAGUUAACGAAACCAGCCUCCAAUGCUCGCUCAGGGUGAGAGCUGAGUUGGGCUGAAAAAAAAAAAAGUCCAGAAACUUUCUGGAUAAGUUUAUUAUGACCCAAGGGUCAAUAGUCAUGUGCCGGGGCACCUGUGUGGCUCAGUCAGUUAAACGUCCAACUUCAGCUCACGGUUCAUGAGUUUGAGCCCCAUGUGCUGACAGCUCAGAGCCUGGAGCCUUCUUUGGAUUCUGUGUCUCCCUCUCUCCCUCUGCCCCUCCCCCGCUUAUACUCUGCCUCUCUCUCUCUCUCUCUCUCUCUCUCUCUCUCUCUCACAAAAACAAAUAAAACAUUAAAAGAAAAAAAUAGUCAUGCGCCCAGGCUUGGAAAUUCCCCCAGAUGUAGAGGAAAAUGGACCCAGCAAAAUUCAGCAAACCCAGGGAGGUAUUUAGCCAGACUUCCCUCCCAGUAGGUUCCUGGUUAGAUCCCAUCACAGGCAACUGGGCUGGAGCUGAGAUGUUGUUCACUUAAAUGAUGACAGGAAAAAGGAAAUGGUGAGGGGAAGUCCGCGGUGGGCAUGAGAAAGGCACCUGAAAUGCAUCAGUCUGUAGAUUAAGCCACUGGCUGCUGGAAUGAGGAAGUCCCUCUCCCAGAUCUGGCAGGGCAGAGAGGUAGCUCACAAGGGGAGGGAAGUGGCAGAAAGGAGCUGCAUUCUUUCUUUCUUUUUUCAUUUCAGUGAUGUAUUUAUUUUAUAACUGGAAGUUUGUACCUCUUACUCCCUUCACUUUACCCAUGCCCGCAUCCACCUCUCCUCUGGCAACCACCAGUUUGUUCUCUGUAUUUAAGAGUUCUGUUUGUUUUUGCUGGAGUUUCUUCCGUCUUCUCUAGGGGGAAGCCCCACACUAGAUCUCAUGCUACAAGACAGGGCCAAACAGAGUUCAGGUCAUUGCUGUGGCCUGGGGCCUCCUCUCCUCUUCUGAAAUCCCCCAGGGGGAUAUCCAUCCUUCCUUUUGAUAAAGUGAAGGAUUUAGGUUGAAUGGGAGGGUAGAAAGGUUCAGCCUGUCGGGAAUACUCUACAGAUCAACCAUGUUUUUGGAACUGGGGUCCAAGAUCUCUGACUCCACGUCCUGGACUGUGUCCCAGGUGGACCUGCUCACGCUCUUCUCAUGGAGUCUCCCCCCACGUUCUGGAAUGACUCUCUCCUUCUUCCAGGCAGCAGAGUUUUGUUGUUGUUGUUGUUGUUUUUCAUCUCAAUGUAGGGUGAAGUUCCAGAAGACAGUGUUGUACACCCAAUGCAGAACCUCAGACUGCAUGGCCAAGAGGACCUUGUUGAUGGAAGCCCAGAGAGGGAAAAUAACUUGUCCAAGAUCACACAGUUCCUGGGCCACUCUUAAGGAAGGAGCUGGAAAGAGAACUUAGGUUUUCUGACUGCACUUUGAAGUUCCUUCCAGCAGUAAGAUUUUGUGAUUUCUUGAUGCUGAUCCACUCUACUAUAGAGUGGCUUUCGUCACAAAACUCUGGCCCUGACAUCCCCCAGGUACCUUGUCUGCUGCCACUGGCUGUGGCCACAGCAGCCCAUUCCUUGGCCCCUGGAAGGGGUGACAUUCUUUUCUAGGGUAUUUGGAAAUAUAUUCUUCAGCCUCAUUCCCCUUCUUAUAGCCAAAUCCCCUAAGCUUCUGUAAGUUGGCACCUUCCCACUUCCCUCUUCCCAGGCUCUGUGACUCCGAUCUGCACACUUUCCCUUUCCCUUCUCCUGGCUAGUGCCUUUCCAGUUCCACACCUCCAGUCUGGACAUGGUCUUGACUCUGGCAGGGAUGCAGAAUCACAGGAAUUAUUGGAAAGAUGUUAGAGAUCAGAGUCCUGCUCCACACUGUCUCCUGCAGAUUUUGGGGGGCUGUCCCUUCUCUCUACUGCUUGAGGAUCAGGAUAGAUGUCAGGGCUCUCAUUCAUUGAGCACCUAAGAUGUACAUGUAUUCCACGAGCAACCAGUAUGUAGCAGGCACUGUGUAAGAGACUUACUCUCUCAUGUCGUCCUCACAGAAUGGCCCAGCAAGUUAAAGAUUACUCCCAUUUUAUAGAUCAGGAGGUUGAGCUUCAGAAAGAUUCUUUAAUUUGCCCUAGUCAUAGAGCUAAUAAAGGGUAGGAUUAGAAAUGAAACCCAGAUGUGCUGAACUAAAAGCCUAAAUCCCAUGCACAAGGGGUGGGAGAAGAGGGAAGGGUUGUAGAAAGGGGGGAAAUGUGAAACACUAUCUUCCAUGGCCUCCCUGGCUGCAGGACUGAGGGGUGAAUAUCACUGUGGGAAUGAUUUUAUAUCUUCCAAUCAAACUUCAGAGAGGAGAGGUCACUGGGCCAGGGAGGCAGCAGGGGUAUUUUGCUGACAGCCCUUGACAUGCACCCUGCUACCUCUCAGCCUGUGCAUUUAUGAUCACCUGGCUGCUUCUGGAAACUACCCAGCCACACCAAGGCAGGUAGCCCGCCCCUCCUCUCUGGGUUGAGGAAGCAGGAAAAGGUGGCAGUGAGAGGCUUUGGGCAGACGUGCUGGGCAAUGAUGGCCGGAGCUCCUGUUAGGAUGGGCUUUCUCUGGGGCCUGGCUCUGCCCCUUUUCUUCUGCUGCGGGGCUGGGGCCCCUGGGAGCUCUGCAGGUAAGGAGGUGUGGGCUGCUCUCCUCACAGGGCUCUGGGUGUGAGUUUCUGUACCGGUAGCCCUUUGUGGUUGAUUAAUUAGAAUUAACCAUAAAGCUACAUCUGAAGUAUUACUAUUGUUGAUAAAGAGUGUGCAAAUGGCAGUGUGUCAGCUUACGCAUGUAUGACACUGCAGUCCGUAGGAUGAAUGAUGUCCUUGUGCCCUAGCUGCCGGUUGUCUCUGCGGGGAGUGUGUGAGGUGGAGGGGUGGGAGGGGCGAGGGAGGUGCCGGCAGGGAAUAAAUCUGACUAAAGCCAAAGAAAGCAGCUUGACAAGAUUCCAACUCCUCCAAGUUUAUUUCCUAGCCCAGAUUUCCUUUAAAAAACAGUUUUGGUGUGAAAAGUCCAACUGUUACAGACUGCCUGGGGAGGGCGGAUUCUGAGAAGGGCAGGGCUUUUAUGAAAGAGACUGACAUGGAUGUGUCAUAGGAACUGUGCCAUGCUUGUCACAUGCAUUGUCUUUAUUAUUUUUUUAAUAGACUUUUUAUUGUAGAGCAGUUUUGGGUUCACAGCAAAAUUGAGCAGAAAAAACAGAGAUUCGGUUCACAUAUAACCUCUGCACCCCCCCAUACCUAAUAUCCCCUCAUUAUCAACAUCCUGCAUUAUCUUUUUCUUUUUUUUUUUAAUUUUUUUUUUAACGUUUAUUUAUUUUUGGGACAGAGAGAGACAGAGCAUGAACGGGGGAGGGGCAGAGAGAGAGGGAGACACAGAAUCUGAAACAGGCUCCAGGCUCUGAGCUGUCAGCACAGAGCCCAACGCGGGGCUCGAACUCACGGACCGUGAGAUCAUGACCUGAGCUGAAGUCGGACACUUAACCGACCAAGCCACCCAGGCGCCCCUAAUGACUAUUUUUUACAGCAGUUUUAGUUUCGCAGCCAAAUUGAGAGGAAGGGACCGAGACUUCCUAUAUGCUCCCAUGCACCAUCUUUUUAAUCCUCUCGGUAACCUCAUGAGAGAGACACGGGUCUUGUUAUUACCCGUCUCUCUCCACAAGAUGGGACUGAGGCUUACCAUCUUGCAACUCAUCUGCAAAGCCAGAAUGUUAUUCCGCAUGUGCCUACCACUAGGACCACGUUGUCUCUUGCACGCGCUCAUGACCUGCCAGGCUUGUGCUGCACAUUUUACAUUUAAUUGAACUUAGUCUUCACAACCCUAUGAAAUAGGUACCUGUAGCUCCAUUUUAUAGAUGAGGAAAAUGCACGCUUGAGCCAGGAGACUUGGUCGGGGUCACAUGAUUGGUAAGCAGCGGAGUAAACAGCAGAGAAGGGACUCAAACUCAGGAUCUAUAGUACACAUGCCUUCCUCUCUGCUUUUUUGAUCUGAGGAAUGGACCAAGAAAGCUGCAGCAUUCUAGAGCUGUAGAGGAUUGGGUAGGCUUUGCUGUGUUUGAGAAGACCUCUGGUGGGUAAGAAACUUGGGUGGGGUUGUGAGAGCCCCGAGGGGUGUGAAGAAGCUACGGGGUUGGAAGCAUCAGGAGGUUUCACAGCAGGAUGGUAUCACAGGGUUCCAGGAAAAGGAAGAAAAUACUUCAGGGGAGGUGGAUGGUCAGACCCCAAGAGCACCACUGGUUGGGCUCUAGGCUGGGUGGGUUGACACAGCUUUGCUUUCACUGUGUGGGGACUGAGGAAGCUCAGAGAAAUAUCUUGGGCUUUGAAGUGGGGAGGAGAAAGUAUAUUCCUGUAAAAGCAUGAUUGCAGAACAACUAAUGAGAGUGAAUGCCAUGACUGACCUGAUAUGCAUGUGGGGACAGCCUGACAUUCUCACUGCAUUAAAGUUGGUUGUGUCCUCUCAAGUGACUCUUUGAGAAGACAAGGCUUGGGAGGGAUCCUUAGUAAUCCCUUACAGUCUUUGGAAAAUAGGACUUUCCCAUCCCCCUUCUCCUCUGGUCCUCACCAUUAUGGCAAGGCAGAUAUGAUCACCCUCUUUCACAAGGGAGGAAAUGGAGGCCUGGUGGACUAACUUGGCUAGUAGGAGGCAGAGUCAGGAUUUGAACCAGUCAUUGGACUCCAGAGCUAGUAGGCAAUAGGCCUGGGGCUGGAACCCAAUCUCUUGCUUCCUGGCCCAGUGUUCUUUUAUUGUUCAGAGAGAGACACAAUGGACAAACUGAGGACCUGGGGCCCUGUCCUGACAGCCAGCCAGGGACGAGGUGACCAACUAGUCCUGCACUUCCAUUGGGUCCUUGGAUACUUUUGGGCCAGUAGAUCUCAGUAAAGACCAUCUCAAACCAUCAGAACCCUGAAAAGGAGGGCUCAUAUUUUGAUUCUUUUCCUUCCAAGAGUAAGGUUACUGGAUAAAACACAGGGAAUCAGCUUAAAUUUGAAUGUCAGGUAAGAAAGCUUUUUCUAGCAGUAUGUCUCAAAUAUUAUGUAAGAAAUACACAUACUGAAAACAUUAUUUGUCACUGAAAUUAUUGCUUGUUUAUCUGAAAUUCAAAUUUGAGUUUAACUGGGCACCCUGUAUUUUUAAUUGCUAAAUCUGGUAACCCUCCCUGAAAGGGUCCUUGGCCCACUUACAGAGGGAACUCUUCCUCCUUAGUAGAUGGGAGAGGCAUGCUUAUCAGCCCAUAAGAAGAUCCUGCUGUAGCCUCCCCAGGGCCAUUGGUGCCAUUCGGCCCACUGUGCAUACAAUCUCACAGGGUCCAUCAAAUGAACAGGGAUGCUCUGCCCUGUAGAGAAAUGCUAGUGGCAUCUCUAAGGAGUGAAGUUUGCCUCACUUGGCUCCCUGUUUCCAGUGGAACAUGCCUGGUGCAUCAUUUCUGUAGUUCUGGGAUCUUAUCCCUGCCACAUCAGAUGAUGGGACCCCAGGGUUCCUUGCUGGAGCCCCAAGGACUCUGCCUGCUCUCUUCCCUUUUGCAGUAGCCACCACCCACUCUGUUUCUGGAGGCUCCUCUCUCCCAGUCCUCCCAGAUACCUCUAAAUACAAAACCAUAGAUGUUUCCUGUAUUUGAAGAGUUUUCACUUCCAUGGGGAAACAUUUGCUGGAUGAAUAAAGUAUCAAUGGAAAGUGACAAGGAUUCUUUGAGAAGGUUCUGAGAGUCGUGAUUUUUGCUCUGUAGUUGUUGAUUCACUUAGACUUAUGCCUCCUUUUCUCCCCCUUGAAGCUGGAUCCUGGCCCCACGCAUUCCCCCUGAUGGCUUCAGACCAAUAAUCAACUAGAUUCUGAGGCUUGCUUGCCUCAAGUGGGUCAUCAGAGGACAUCAGUCAGGUGAUCCCAGUUCCAUGGCUGACACAUGGGACUGGUCUUCCCAAUACCACCUCCUUCUUUCUUGUAUGUAUAGAUGAAAAAUGGAGUAAAAACAACUUCCCCUCCCCACCUUCCUCCCAGUAGUGCCCAGGCCAUAAACACAAGGGCUUGUGUGAAGUCAGUCCACGGGGACUCAUGGCUUACAAAGGUGGUCUUACCCAACACAGGCCCUAGCACCAGCAGACCAGGCCCUUUGGUGACAACAAACCACAUAGAAGUGACUACCAUGACUCCGGGGAUCAAGACAAGUUCACAGGGAGCCUUCCAGAUGACUGAUCUUGUUGAGACCUCUGUGCAAAGCCAUAUCCCUUUGGAAACUCAAACCCUGAGCAUCCAGACCUUUGAUAGGACCUUAAUCCUGGCCAGCACCAUUUCAGAUGCAGAGAUCAGGGAAACCAAGACCAUUUUUCCUGCAACAGAGACCAGGGCCUUCACAAAAAUGAUACCUUCCAAAUUCAUGGUUGUGAUCACCACUCCUAUGGAGGCAUCAGCCGCAAGUGGCAGCCCCACAGGAACUGGAAUGACCACAGUUGAGACAGUUAUAGGCACCGAUCUCGUGGAAUCUGUCUUUGACACCCUUUGUACCGAUGACAGCUCAGAAGAGGCAAAGAGGAUCGUAAUUGACAUCUUGACAUUGGCUCACACCUCUGCAGAAGCCGAGGCCCUGACCUCGGAGAGCAGUGCCUUCUCUGACAGCUCAGUUAUGGCCAUUGCCACCUCACAGGCCCUGGCAUCUGACACCACUGUUCCGGCUAAAGCCUUGCUUGCCUACACCAUCACCGACACUGAGGUUACCAAUUGCAGCGUUGUAGAAAUAGAAACAACUGCCACCACUCCCGGGACCUUGGACACAGAUCAUGAUCCCACAGGAGGAAAGGCCCUGUCAGCCUCUGAGGUGUCAGCUUUGCUUGAUUCCACUGAAUCAGAAUCAGACUUCACCAAGACCAUGACAUCUGCUGAGACCGUGUCAGGAGCCAGAGGCACAGAACCAGUCAUGCCUGAUACCACAGUUGAGACCCCGAUACCUGUUAAUAGCACCAUAGAAGGAGAAACAGCAGCAGCCAAGACCACUACCCCCAGCACAACUUCGGUGACAGUCAGCACGAACCCCUUGGAAGAAACUUCAGCCUUCUCUAUUGAGACAAGUCACACCGAGGUCUCAGUUACAAUCUCCACAGGGACUGGGUCAACUGUGGGCAAAGUGGCUCCCCCUGCUGGACUCUCAGAUAGGGCCUACAGCCACACCCAAGCAACCACUAGCAAGAACUCCACCCCCUCAGAGAUUUCAACCACAGACAGCACAACCAAUGGGUCCAUCCCCAUCAGCAGGAACACCUUUCCUUCUGUGCAUCUGACUGUGGCCAACAGCAGCCCAGAGGCAAAUAUCACCUUAGUCAAGACCACAGCCUUAGCAAAGACCUUGAAGACAGCCAGCAUGACUGAAUGGAAGCCCCCAACAGCCAUGCCCACCACUGCUCAGACAAGGUGGACCACAGAAGUUACUGCAGGUAAGUGGCUCUUGGAGGUGUGAUCUUGGGGAUUUGGAGUUGGGAAUUUCCAGAAUGUCUACAUGCUUAAGGGAUAGGGAGGAAGGAAGUAUCUGGAGGCUUAUUCUGAGCCCAGUCUCUGAGGUCACGUCUUCAUGAUCUUCUAGUGAUUCUUGCCAAAAUCAGAAACAGGAAGAGUUAGGAAGGCAUAUGGAAAAAUGUGGGGUUGGAAGUCUGGAGAAAUAGUUUGAGACCCUGGUUUUGCCCUUAACAAUCUAGUGGCCUAGAACAGGUCCUUUUCCUUUCUGGGCCUCAGUUUCUCCACCAGUAACUGCAGGGGGCUGUGUUGCAUGAACAAUGACGUCCUUUCCAACUCUGCCCUUCUGUGAUAUUAACGGUUGAGUAACUACUGUGUGCCGGGUGAGGCCCCAAAUUGUAUUCAAAAGCCACAGUCCUCAUGCUCUGGAAACCUCUGGUUCAGCUAGAGCCACACAGAGGGGCACUGUGUGAAUGUCUGGCCCAAGUUGCUGCCCCCUGAGCAGCUGGGACCCCAUAAGAGUGGGGCUUGCUGGGCUUGGAGCCAUAGACAGUGACUUUAAAUAAAUGAAUAAAUUGGGCAAACGUUUGGGCAUUUAAAGCUACAUGUCUGAGACAACAGAUACUUCUCAGGGAUGAGGCCCCUUCAUCAGAGGCUGCUGGGUCAACCCAGCUUCUGGUCAGCCUGGAGCCUCCACCUCUACUUCCUGUCACUGUCCUCAUGCCUCAUCCCUGUGGUGUCCUCAGCUGGCCCUGCCUCUGUGGGGAGGUGAAAUAAAAAUAUUAAUCACGAUCACCUUACUGAACAUCUUUUGUAUUCCAGGGAGAGAUCAUAUAAAAAUAUUUCACAACCAGUGAAGCAUUGGCACUGGCUGAAUGUUCUCACUGAUGUCAGGCAGUGAACUACGAGCUUUGCAUGUGUUAUCUCUUCUAAUUAAACCUUCAAAACUACCUUAUGAGGUGGGUGUUAUUGCCCCACCUGACAGGUGAGGAAACAGGUUUAAAGAUGCUAGAAAGAUAGCAGUGGGACUCCAAAUGGAAGUCUGUUUGAUUCCAACUCAUAACCUCCUAUUGUGCUUUUAUUUUUUAAAGCUCAAUUUAUUAAUAUAUCUUUAUUUAAAAAUGCUUUUCUUUAUUACUUGUUGAUUAGAUACUGCAUUGACAUGAUUUAAAAAUCAAUAGGUUCAUAAGGGGUCAGCAUAAAAUGUCUUUCUCCCACUGCUGUUCCCCAACUACCCAGCCUCCAUCAUACACAUAACUGGCAGAGUUAUUUUCUUGUGAAUCUUCUGGCCAUGAAAUAUGCAUGUGGCAGCAAAAACAAGAAGGAUGAGAUAUCAAUAUUGAUAUCUUUAUCAGUCUAUAUAAAUAUAGAAGAGCAGUGACUAGAUCAGUCCUAACAGUAUUCUGAGAGGGGGAAAUGACUACAAGAGGGCAGUUAAGGCAAGCAGGUUAGGGCUCAACAAAAGGCAGAACUUGCCUACAGGGCUGCUAAAUUGGGAAGGCUGGAUCAAAACCUCCACCAACUUGGAACUGGAAAGCAUUGGCUGAGGGCAUCACCUCCAAGAGCCGGCCUCUCUCAGGCAUUCUCCCUGUCUGGACCCUUUCCCAACAGCCCAUCUGUGACUGCUAGUCCUUGAGAACAUUCUAGAUUCACUUAGAUUUCUCCUUCCUCACACUACUCUUUUGACUUCUCUGAAUGUGGUUGGGGCCUUUUUCACUCUUGUUGGGAGGACUACAAGGAGCCCAGUUAUUGGAGAGAAGGAGUCCUCUUUCUCUUUGCAGUGAGUAAAUGUAAGCUCCCAUGUGAACACUGACACAUUUACACAUGAGAGUGAGCACACAUGUGCAGAGGUGUGGACAGAGGCUGGGUAGCAUGGGUCAUGUCAUGAUUCCUGAACUGACUUACCCAUAUUUUCAUCUGCUGCUUUUUUUAAACUUGUAGGUGGGGAUGGAGGCUUUUUCCUUCUGCGGCUGAGUGUGGCCUCUCCAGAAGACCUCACUGACCCUAGAGUGGCAGAGAGGCUGAUGCAGCAGGUGAGUGGGCACUUUCUGGGCCAAGAAAGUAGAGGAGAGAAUUAGGAACUAAGUUUAAGGAUCCCUGCUUGGCUUGGCUUCUGUCUGUUUUUCCUGAGUUGGGAAUUCCCCUUCUGUGCUAUGUAAAGAAAUUCUUUCCUUCACCCCCAAUUUCCUCAGGCCCUAGGAAGGUCAGGCCCUCUGGCCCUUGGGAGAAGAUCAAUGAUAUUAAUGGGCAGAUAGGCAGGACUUCGGGUUACAAGUAGCAGAAAUCAACUCAUUGUAGCUUACACAGAAAAGGCAAGGCAUUAUUGGCUGAGAAAACUAGAAGUGACUGUUCCAGCUUCAGUUAUGGCUGUAUCCAGCAGCUUAGACAUGAUCAUCAAGAUUUUCUCUUUCUCUACCUCUCUUAGCUCUUCAUUGUUCAGAAUCUCUCUCCAUAUGUACAGAAAGGUGACUGUGACAGCCCUAGAGUCACAGACACUUCCCUCUCCCAAGGUCUGCUUAUUAUACUAGGGAAACACUGAUCUCAUUGGCCUGCAAGGGCCACUAUGAGUGACAGCUCAACCACAUGGAAUGAGAAGGACAGGCCCCAAAGGAAAUAGGAAUGCUAGGCAGGAAAACACCCCAUAGAUGUAUGCUCCAGAUGGGGACCAAGAUUGGGGUAUAUUUGUAUAAGUUGGGAAAAUUCUCCUAAGACCCAGAUCACUGGACAAAGCUUCCAAUGGUGGAAUUCUGGGGUCAGAGAUUAUGGGGAUAAUAUGAAUCACUGUAAGGUUAAACUAGGUCAACUCAGUCUAGCUCUUGUGCCCACAUCUUGCUGCUAGGGGAUGAGAAGAGGAAGUAUCUGGGCUCUUAAAGUUCUCUUAGUGGAAAGGGGCCCAUCAGGACUCCCAUAAUGAGAUCUCUGAGCACAGCAUGGGGGUUUUGAAUUGGGACAGCCAAAGAAAUGACAAAUGCCUACUGCACUUGAUAAUCAAAGUAGCAAGUGUGAAUCCUAGUCAAAGAGGGAAGCCAGAAUGGUGCCAGAUCUGAGUCCCCCAGACUGGAAACUAUUUCAGGGUUCAGAAAGAGGCCAGGGAGAGAGAACAGGUCAGGAGCUGAGGCAUAGGAAUCAGGCCAUGUAGGUGUUGGGCACGAGCUCUUGUCAGGAGCGGGACACUGAUGUAGGGCUCAGGGUUCAGGACUCAGACAAACAAUAAGUUUGGAGCCAUAUAGAUCUGAGGGUGAAUUCCAGUUCCUAACUGUGUGACCUUGGGUAAGUUACUCCAUAUUACUUUCCUCCCUUAUAAAAUGAAGUGAAUACUACCUGCUUUGUAAGGUUAUUGUGAGGUUAAAUAGCAUUGUGUGCAUGAAGCACCUAGUGCAUGCCUAGCCGGUGGGGGGCCCAGGGAGUGUUGCUGGCCUCCUCCUACGUUCUCUCUCACUGUCCCUUCCUGUCCUUGGCCUGUGGUGAACUCAUAGGCCAGGUGGGCUGGAAGUACCACCUUCUUCUUUUGCCCUACAGCUCCUCCAUGAACUGCAUACCCACAUGCCUCCCAUCCAAGCGUCUCUGCUGCGUGUCAAGAAGGACUAAGGAACAUCAGCUGUGGCCAGGCAUGGUUGUGUGCCAAAGGGGGAAGUGCUGCUGGUGGUCUGGGCCCCCCAUAGACUAGAGCCAAGUUACUGUGCUGAGAUGUACCUGGGAGCUUCCCAGGAGGUCAGCUGGCCUAAGCCCUUUUCCCAGACCUGGCAGCAGGACCCUGACUCACAUAUGCCUGAGUGUGUGGGGGUCUGGGUGGGGGGUGUUCCAAAGAUGUUCUUGGACUUCCUUUGGCACAUGUGUUGUGUUUCAGUAAAGAGUGACUUGAUCACCCAUCUGUCACCUGCUUUGUGCUUCCAUUGGACAUUAAUAUUAUAUUCAGUGUGGCCCA
This 17984-nucleotide long non-coding RNA is filed under the name Lynx pardinus (Iberian lynx). Lineage: Eukaryota; Metazoa; Chordata; Mammalia; Carnivora; Felidae. The record is from RNAcentral.